Molecule: ribosomal RNA, 323 nt
Filed under: uncultured Pseudomonas sp.
Lineage: Bacteria; Pseudomonadati; Pseudomonadota; Gammaproteobacteria; Pseudomonadales; Pseudomonadaceae
Description: bacterial SSU rRNA
Rfam family: Bacterial small subunit ribosomal RNA
Source: RNAcentral
CGUGUCGUGAGAUGUUGGGUUAAGUCCGUAACCGAGCGCAACCCUUCGUCCUUAGUUACCUAGCACGUUAUGUGGGCGACUCUAAGGAGACUGCCGGUGCAAACCGGAGGAAGGUGGGGAUGACGUCAAGUCAUCAUGGCCCUUACGGCCUGGGCUACACACGUGCUACAAUGGUCGGUACAAAGGGUUGCCAAGCCGCGAGGUGGAGCUAAUCCCAUAAAACCGAUCGUAGUCCGGAUCGCAGUCUGCAACUCGACUGCGUGAAGUCGGAAUCGCUAGUAAUCGUGAAUCAGAAUGUCACGGUGAAUACGUUCCCGGGCCUU